This 72-nucleotide transfer RNA is filed under the name Leptospiraceae bacterium. Its description in RNAcentral is "tRNA-Met". It matches the Rfam family "tRNA". From Rfam's summary of the family: Transfer RNA (tRNA) molecules are approximately 80 nucleotides in length. Lineage: Bacteria; Pseudomonadati; Spirochaetota; Leptospiria; Leptospirales; Leptospiraceae. The record is from RNAcentral.
UGCGGGGUAGUUCAACGGUAGAAUGUUAGACUCAUGCUCUAAAUGUUGCGGGUUCGAAUCCCGUCCCCGCCA